CAGGGAGACAACAAAAUGUUUAAUAUUAUUAUUUUGUCACCUUAGGUCGAUCGGUAUCUCACGUUCUUAAUUUGUUAAGAAUUUCAUUUCCUAAGUUUUUCUAGGUCACACCCAUUAUUUUUCCUGGGCCAUUAGCUCAGGUGGUUAGAGCGCACCCCUGAUAAGGGUGAGGUCCCUGGUUCAAGUCCAGGAUGGCCCAUAUCUCUAUGUUGGGGGUAUAGCUCAGUUGGUAGAGCGCCUGCUUUGCAAGCAGGAUGUCAGCGGUUCGAGUCCGCUUACCUCCACUGAUUACCACCUCUUGCAUAACCGAUAGAAGGGAAAUGUUUUGAGUUGUGAUCAUUAUUCUGAACGAAUCUAGCUUCCUAAUAAAAUCAUUAAGAUGCUGGACUCAUUGAAUUAACUUCAUUGUUUUCAGAGAACCUUGACAACUGCAUAGAUUAUUUUUAAAGACAAUAAGCAUCUUUAAUGAUGCAGAUUUAUUAUUUGUGCGAAUGCAUUAAUAACAAUUCUAUUAAGCUGAUGCUUCAAUUUUAGAAGUUAUU
RNAcentral lists this transfer RNA (542 nucleotides) under uncultured Prochlorococcus sp. RNAcentral's name for it is "partial 16S-23S ribosomal RNA intergenic spacer". The stretch from base 212 to 284 matches the Rfam family "tRNA". Lineage: Bacteria; Bacillati; Cyanobacteriota; Cyanophyceae; Synechococcales; Prochlorococcaceae. The record is from RNAcentral.